GGUGCUUAGCUUGGUAAUUAUCAGAUUCAAGGUCCUCGUAUCAUUCUAAAAGGAUGAAAAUUCUCAACCCUCAGGUCAUGUUAUCAAAUUUCUCAUCAUUCUAAAAGGAUGAAAAUUCUCAACCCUCAGGUCAUGUUAUCAAAUUUCUCAUCAUUCUAAAAGGAUGAAAAUUCUCAACCCUCAGGUCAUGUUAUCAAAUUUCUCGAGUCUAAAAGAAGGUAAAAUGACUAUCAUAGUUAAGAGGAUGAGGUGAAAAUGACUAUUUCAAAAGAUAGGUAAAAUUUAUGGAACUUCGGGAAUUUUAGUUGGAACUGCGACGAGAAGUUACGGCAAAGAGAGAAAACUGAAAACAGAAUAUACGCAUGAAAAUAAAUUAAGACAAAGGUUAUGUUCUAUAUGAAGCAAAUGUUUUCCAGAAAAAUAAGUGGGGCUCCUUGCUUAUUUUCUUGCAUUUAGUACACGUAACAAAAAAUAUUAUCCUAAAAAAUAUAAUUUAGAUAAAUAUGGUCGAGCAGUAGGCAGGGUGUGGGGUGGUGGAGAAGGGGCUACGGGAGUGGCGGUGAAGAUGAGGUAUAUUGAAG
This 581-nucleotide long non-coding RNA is filed under the name Capsicum annuum. Its description in RNAcentral is "long non-coding RNA (CANN_LNC020070)". Lineage: Eukaryota; Viridiplantae; Streptophyta; Magnoliopsida; Solanales; Solanaceae. The record is from RNAcentral.